Molecule: ribosomal RNA, 460 nt
Filed under: uncultured bacterium
Lineage: Bacteria
Description: partial 16S ribosomal RNA
Rfam family: Bacterial small subunit ribosomal RNA
Source: RNAcentral
CCUACGGGAGGCAGCAGUGAGGAAUAUUGAUCAAUGGACGCAAGUCUGAACCAGCCAUGCCGCGUGCAGGAAGACGGCUCUAUGAGUUGUAAACUGCUUUUGUACGAGGGUAAAUCCCGAUACGUGUAUCGUGUUGAAAGUAUCGUACGAAUAAGGAUCGGCUAACUCCGUGCCAGCAGCCGCGGUAAUACGGAGGAUUCAAGCGUUAUCCGGAUUUAUUGGGUUUAAAGGGUGCGUAGGCGGUUCGAUAAGUUAGAGGUGAAAUCCCGGGGCUCAACUCCGGCACUGCCUCUGAUACUGUCGGGCUAGAGUUUAGUUGCGGUAGGCGGAAUGUAUGGUGUAGCGGUGAAAUGCAUAGAGAUCAUACAGAACACCGAUUGCGAAGGCAGCUUACCAAACUACGACUGACGUUGAGGCACGAAAGCGUGGGGAGCAAACAGGAUUAGAUACCCGUGUAGUC